Molecule: ribosomal RNA, 474 nt
Filed under: uncultured organism
Description: partial 16S ribosomal RNA
Rfam family: Bacterial small subunit ribosomal RNA
Source: RNAcentral
ACACUCCUGCGGGAGGCAGCAGUGGGGAAUUUUGGACAAUGGGCGAAAGCCUGAUCCAGCCAUGCCGCGUGCAGGAUGAAGGCCUUCGGGUUGUAAACUGCUUUUGUACGGAACGAAACGGCCUUUUCUAAUAAAGAGGGCUAAUGACGGUACCGUAAGAAUAAGCACCGGCUAACUGCGUGCCAGCAGCCGCGGUAAUACGUAGGGUGCAAGCGUCAAUCGGAAUUACUGGGCGUAAAGCGUGCGCAGGCGGUUAUGUAAGACAGUUGUGAAAUCCCCGGGCUCAACCUGGGAACUGCAUCUGUGACUGCAUAGCUAGAGUACGGUAGAGGGGGAUGGAAUUCCGCGUGUAGCAGUGAAAUGCGUAGAUAUGCGGAGGAACACCGAUGGCGAAGGCAAUCCCCUGGACCUGUACUGACGCUCAUGCACGAAAGCGUGGGGAGCAAACAGGAUUAGAAACCCUAGUAGUCCCAU